CUAAUAUCGUCCGAGUAAAACAGAAACGGAAGACGAGUUCCGUCGAAACUCCUCCUCAGGUCGUUGAGGCUCGUCUACACUUGAAAAUGUUCAGCAAAGUCUAAUCCUGCUCCUGGAGGGCCACACUCCAGCAGAGUUUUGCUCCAGCCCCAAUUAAACACACCUGAACCAGCUAACGAAGGUCUUCAGGAUCACUACAAACUUGUGUUGCAAUUCUCCUCUCCAAGCCCUCCAGGAGAAGGACUGGACACCCCUGGUAUAUGGGAUUGUUCUUGUAAAACAGCAUGUUGCUUUGGAUAAAUGACUAAUAAUUACAGAUUGUGGAUCUUGUCAGCUCUACUUACAGACUUCAGGUCGUCAUCAGCCUGGAUACCUGAGGAGCAAGACCGUACAGGAGACGAAGAGGGCGAGGAGGGGUCAGACAACUG
Molecule: long non-coding RNA, 428 nt
Organism: Onychostoma macrolepis
Lineage: Eukaryota; Metazoa; Chordata; Actinopteri; Cypriniformes; Cyprinidae
Exons: 3
Source: RefSeq, a predicted model, not a curated record